AACGAACGCUGGCGGCAGGCCUAACACAUGCAAGUCGAACGCCCUCUUUGAGGGAGUGGCAGACGGGUGAGUAACACGUGGGAACCUACCCAGUAGUACGGAACAACACAGAGAAAUUUGUGCUAAUACCGUAUACGCCCUACGGGGGAAAGAUUUAUCGCUAUUGGAUGGGCCCGCGCUGGAUUAGCUAGUUGGUGAGGUAAAAGCUCACCAAGGCGACGAUCCAUAGCUGGUCUGAGAGGAUGAUCAGCCACACUGGGACUGAGACACGGCCCAGACUCCUACGGGAGGCAGCAGUGGGGAAUAUUGGACAAUGGGCGCAAGCCUGAUCCAGCCAUGCCGCGUGAGUGAUGUCGGCCCUAGGGUUGUAAAGCUCUUUCAACGGUGAAGAUAAUGACGGUAGCCGUAGAAGAAGCCCCGGCUAACUUCGUG
This 432-nucleotide ribosomal RNA is filed under the name uncultured bacterium. RNAcentral's name for it is "bacterial SSU rRNA". It matches the Rfam family "Bacterial small subunit ribosomal RNA", at positions 29 to 507 of the family's 1533-position model. The record is from RNAcentral.